Molecule: ribosomal RNA, 253 nt
Filed under: uncultured bacterium
Lineage: Bacteria
Description: partial 16S ribosomal RNA
Rfam family: Bacterial small subunit ribosomal RNA
Source: RNAcentral
UACGUAGGGUGCAAGCGUUGUCCGGAAUUACUGGGCGUAAAGCGUGCGCAGGCGGUCUUGCAAGACAGAUGUGAAAUCCCCGGGCUCAACCUGGGAACUGCAUUUGUGACUGCAAGGCUGGAGUGCGGCAGAGGGGGAUGGAAUUCCGCGUGUAGCAGUGAAAUGCGUAGAUAUGCGGAGGAACACCGAUGGCGAAGGCAAUCCCCUGGGCCUGCACUGACGCUCAUGCACGAAAGCGUGGGGAGCAAACAGG